GGCGUGCUUACACAUGCAAGUCGAACGAUGAAGCCCAGCUUGCUGGGUGGAUUAGUGGCGAACGGGUGAGUAACACGUGAGUAACCUGCCCUUUCCUCUGGGAUAACUCCGGGAAACCGGUGCUAAUACUGGAUAUGACUCUUGCCUGCAUGGGUGGGGGUGGAAAGAUUUAUCGGGAUUGGAUGGACUCGCGGCCUAUCAGCUUGUUGGUGGGGUAAUGGCCUACCAAGGCGACGACGGGUAGCCGGCCUGAGAGGGUGACCGGCCACACUGGGACUGAGACACGGCCCAGACUCCUACGGGAGGCAGCAGUGGGGAAUAUUGCACAAUGGGCGGAAGCCUGAUGCAGCGACGCCGCGUGAGGGAUGACGGCCUUCGGGUUGUAAACCUCCUUCAGCUCUGACGAAGCUUUUGUGACGGUAGGAGCAGAAGAAGCACCGGCUAACUACGUGCCAGCAGCCGCGGUAAUACGUAGGGUGCGAGCGUUGUCCGGAAUUAUUGGGCGUAAAGAGCUUGUAGGCGGUUUGUCGCGUCUGCUGUGAAAUCCCGGGGCUUAACUCCGGGCUUGCAGUGGGUACGGGCAGGCUAGAGUAUGGUAGGGGAGACUGGAAUUCCUGGUGUAGCGGUGGAAUGCGCAGAUAUCAGGAGGAACACCGAUGGCGAAGGCAGGUCUCUGGGCCAUUACUGACGCUGAGAAGCGAAAGCGUGGGGAGCGAACAGGAUUAGAUACCCUGGUAGUCCACGCCGUAAACGUUGGGCGCUAGGUGUGGGUCCCAUUCCACGGGGUCCGUGCCGCAGCUAACGCAUUAAGCGCCCCGCCUGGGGAGUACGGCCGCAAGGCUAAAACUCAAAUGAAUUGACGG
RNAcentral lists this ribosomal RNA (863 nucleotides) under uncultured Ornithinimicrobium sp. RNAcentral's name for it is "bacterial SSU rRNA". It matches the Rfam family "Bacterial small subunit ribosomal RNA", at positions 41 to 916 of the family's 1533-position model. Lineage: Bacteria; Bacillati; Actinomycetota; Actinomycetes; Micrococcales; Ornithinimicrobiaceae. The record is from RNAcentral.